ACGGCCAUACCAUGCUGAAUAUACAGGCUCUCGUUCGAUCACCACAGUCAAACAUCGUCGGGCGCGGUCAGUACUUGGGAGGGUUACUACCUGGGAAUACCGCGUGCUGUUU
This is a non-coding RNA of Caerostris darwini, 112 nucleotides long. Lineage: Eukaryota; Metazoa; Arthropoda; Arachnida; Araneae; Araneidae. The record is from the annotation of a GenBank genome assembly.